RNAcentral lists this ribosomal RNA (468 nucleotides) under uncultured bacterium. Its description in RNAcentral is "partial 16S ribosomal RNA". It matches the Rfam family "Bacterial small subunit ribosomal RNA", at positions 28 to 507 of the family's 1533-position model. The record is from RNAcentral.
GACGAACGCUGGCGGCGUGCUUAACACAUGCAAGUCGAACGGAAAGGCCCUGCUUUUGUGGGGUGCUCGAGUGGCGAACGGGUGAGUAACACGUGAGUAACCUGCCCUUGACUUUGGGAUAACUUCAGGAAACUGGGGCUAAUAACGGAUAGGAGCUCCUGCUGCAUGGUGGGGGUUGGAAAGGUUCGGCGGUUGGGGAUGGACUCGCGGCUUAUCAGCUUGUUGGUGGGGUAGUGGCUUACCAAGGCUUUGACGGGUAGCCGGCCUGAGAGGGUGACCGGCCACAUUGGGACUGAGAUACGGCCCAGACUCCUACGGGAGGCAGCAGUGGGGAAUAUUGCACAAUGGGCGGAAGCCUGAUGCAGCAACGCCGCGUGCGGGAUGACGGCCUUCGGGUUGUAAACCGCUUUCGCCUGUGACGAAGCGUGAGUGACGGUAAUGGGUAAAGAAGCACCGGCUAACUACGCG